AGAGUCACCGCAGUGGCUGAGCUGCUGACAGGAGGCGGCGGCGGAGGAGGAGGCGAGGCAAGACCUGCGGCUCCGCGGGGCUACUGCCGCGGUAGCUCUAGGCAACCCCACGGAGCUACGCCGGUCUCAGUCAUCCCGCGAGCCUCUCGCCGCCUAUCCAUCCUUCCAUCCGCCUAUCCGCCCGACCGGUCCAGGGCGGCCUAGUCUGCAUAAUCUGCCGGGCUUCUGGGGCCGCCGCCCCGCGCGGUCCCAUCGGCGUCCCUGGCCGCGCCCGGCCCCUGGCCCGCUCGCCCGCCGGCACCAUGAUGGAGGAGAUCGACCGGUUCCAGGUGCCCACCGCGCACUCGGAGAUGCAGCCGCUGGAUCCAGCCGCAGCCUCUAUCUCAGACCGAGACUGUGACGCCCGGGAGGGGUGGGUCCCAUGUCCACUGACUGCUGUGAGAUCGCCUGACCCCCGCAGCUGCCCAGAGCUCCAGUGACUCCAGAGAAGCAACGGGAGCUGGCCCGGAAGGGUUCCCUGAAGAACGGCAGCAUGGGCAGCCCUGUCAACCAGCAACCCAAGAAGAACAACGUCAUGGCCCGGACGAGGCUGGUCGUCCCUAAUAAAGGCUACUCCUCGCUGGACCAGAGCCCUGAUGAGAAGCCACUGGUAGCUCUUGACACAGACAGCGACGAUGACUUUGACAUGUCCAGAUACUCUUCCUCUGGCUACUCCUCUGCCGAGCAGAUCAACCAAGAUUUGAACAUCCAGCUGCUGAAAGAUGGCUACCGGUUAGACGAGAUCCCCGACGACGAGGACCUAGAUCUCAUCCCCCCCAAGUCUGUGAACCCCACCUGCAUGUGUUGUCAGGCCACUUCCUCCACCGCCUGCCACAUUCAGUAGUGGGCGGGGUCGCCGCGGUGCACGGGGCGCUGACCUGGGCCCGGUGGGAUGCAGCAGGAGAGACCCCUACCCUGCUGGUCCACUGGUCCCCAGCCCCGCGCCUCUUAGAGCCGCCAACCUCGUAACAGUCAUUGCUUCCUCCUAUGGUAGGACGUGUACCUCUGUGUGUUCAAGGAGCCGGAGAAACCAAAACCGGGUCUGUCUCCAGCCCCGGGGCUGAGGAGGGGUGGGCACUGUUUGUUCGGUUACUUGGGGGGAACCACACCCAAGCACCCUGCCACCUCUCCUAUAGCUGCAGUCAGGGGGGCAGCACUGAAGGCCAGGAGGCCAAAUGUAAGCGUUGGGUGAAGGGAUCACAGGGCCGGAAGGUUGGCCCCAGCCAGUGAAGCCAUGAAUCCCCCCCAAGCCCGGCUUGGAAAGGAAGGAAAGGGGUUUUGAGAAGAAAAGGAUCCAAGCAAUGGGGGCAGUUCUCACACCUCAGAGCCCCUCUCCCCAAACCCUGUGCCAGCCCAUAUACCUAUUUGUGUUUUCCCCUCAUCUCCAGAUGGGAAGCCUGGCAGCGCUGUCCAAAGGGAUACUGUCUCUCCAUUAGAUAACUCCUUCCACUGUCUCCCUCCCCCGCUUUCUUACUUUCUGAGGGUUGGGAAGGUAAGAUGGGCCUUAGAGAGAAGCCAGGUUUGGGGAUGGUAUGACCUGUUCUCACCGGUCUCUAACCAGUGCAUCUGUCUCUCUGCCUCAUCCCCACACCGCCCUGCCACCCCCAGUCUUCUGUCUAUUGGUUCCAGGCUGGAAGCAAGAGAUAAGGCUGGCCUCCUGUGCCCCAUUGCCAUUUCACCCUAGCUCAAAGUCCAGGAGCCAGGCUUCCAGAAAGGCUCUUCAAGAGCAAGCUUAAGGAAAUACAGUGAGCCAAGUGGCUGUAUGAUAUGGUAUGGUAUGGUAUGGUAUGGUAUGGUAUGGUAUGCACAUGUGUGUGCAUGUGUGUGUGCCUGUGUGUGUGCGUGUGCGUGUGUGUAUGUGUGUGCGUGUGUGUGUGUGUGUGUUGUACCCGAGUGUGUGUUGAGCCUAUCUGUCCAGGGAACCAGAUUGGUGUCCGAGAUGAGGAAAUGGCUGUGGCCUGGGAAAUCAGUGAGAGGCCGCUUGGGAAUGAGAAUGCAGUGGACUGAAAGCACAGCCUGGCCAUCUGGAACCUGGGUUCUGGUCCCAGCCUCGGCAUUCUCCCUGAGCUCCUAAGCAAUUCCCAGGCUUCUCUAGGGCUUCAGUUCUCACAACUGGAAAAUAAAGAGUAGCUGACAUCACCGACAGAGUCUUUUCAUACCAGAAGGAAUUUCUUCACAGGAGUUUCUGCAAAAGACUAUGACAUCUGUGUGUCUGUGGUCUCACGAGGUACCUGGAGGUGUAUGUGCACGGACAUGGGAAGUACGUGAAGAUUUAUUUCGGGAAAAGUGGUGUGUGUGUAGCUGUACUGGGUGUCAUGUAUGCUGUUGCUUCUGCUGCUGGUCUGGUCUGAGGGAGGAAAGCUGAGGCUGUAGCUCAGUGAGAUGGUGGCUCUCCCAUGGCUGAAGACAAGUGCAAGCAGAGAGAGCCUCAGGCUGCUGGGCCUCGGACCCACGAGCCUCCUCUCACUGAGCCAGUGCGGCCAGAGUGUCUCUCCUUCAGGCGCCCCACAUGCCAGCAUUUCCACCCUCUGGAUUCUCCUCACAUGUCACUCUCCAGGUGCCGGGGCCUAGAGUGGGCGUGUGAGAAGGAGGAGUGGGGCUGUUGGCUUAGGAAGGGAAGCGCCUCUCUGUACACCACAACCAGGAGCUGCCCACUCCCCACACCUCCAGCCCAGCUUACCUCCCCCUAGUACAGAGAUCCUAAUUAGAUAAGAAAAUGCCAAGGGAGGCAAGCCAGAGAAAGCAUCUGCAGGGGCCACAGGCCCAUGGUGGCCCCAUCUGAGCCCCCUCUCCCACCCCAGUUCGCAUCCCCACCACUCAUCAUCUGGGCCCCAACGCUAGAACUCCCCCCACCGCAUCCCCACUGGGCUCUUUGACUCACCCUUCUAGAACAUGGGUGCCUCCUCUCUUUAGACUGCUGCCUUUGCCUCUGACUUCCUGUGGGAUUGAGAGCCAAGGGCCAGUGCCCUUGUGAGCGCACUAGUUCCGAAGCAGGCAAGGGCAUUAGGUGGUAUAUACAUAGCGGGUAGGGGUAGGAAGCUGGCAGCCUGCAGCUUCCAAGUCCAAGGAGAGCACACAGUUCCCUCCUUCCCUGCCUGGAAGUUGAAGGGGAAGAGCCAGGGCCUCAGCUUGACACCCCCCACCCCGCUUCCCCCCUCCCCCCCACUCCCCCACCCCUUGUAGAUACUGCCUUAACACUCCCCCACCCUUGGCUGCGGCUGCUACCCAGCCAGGUUUCUUCGAGCUCACUAAUUUAUUUCCAAGAAGGUGUGUGGAAGACAUGAGCCGUGUAUAAUAUUUUUUUUUUAACAUUUCCAUCGCAGUAUUGACCAUCAGCCUUGGUUGUGUAUCGUGUAACACAAAAUAAUGAUAUUAAAAGCAUCAAACAAGCCA
RNA transcript from Mus musculus (house mouse), 3432 nucleotides. It is a transcript of the gene named family with sequence similarity 219, member A, with no coding region annotated. The transcript is spliced from 7 exons. The record is from RefSeq and is marked validated. Lineage: Eukaryota; Metazoa; Chordata; Mammalia; Rodentia; Muridae.